Molecule: transfer RNA, 72 nt
Filed under: Camelus bactrianus (Bactrian camel)
Lineage: Eukaryota; Metazoa; Chordata; Mammalia; Artiodactyla; Camelidae
Also listed under: 1 other name
Rfam family: tRNA
About the family: Transfer RNA (tRNA) molecules are approximately 80 nucleotides in length. Their secondary structure includes four short double-helical elements and three loops (D, anti-codon, and T loops).
Source: Rfam by way of RNAcentral
GAGGGUAUAGUUCAAUGGUAGAGCACGUGCUUAGCAUGCACGAGGUCUUGGGUUCAAUCCCCAGUACCUCCA